Molecule: ribosomal RNA, 499 nt
Filed under: uncultured bacterium
Lineage: Bacteria
Description: bacterial SSU rRNA
Rfam family: Bacterial small subunit ribosomal RNA
Source: RNAcentral
GACGAACGCUGGCGGCGUGGAUUAGGCAUGCAAGUCGAACGGUAUCAUCCUUUCGGGGGUGAGAGAGUGGCGAACUGGUGAGUAACACGUAGGUUAUCUACCCUCAAGACGGGGGACAACCCAGGGAAACUUGGGCUAAUACCGGAUGUGAGCAACUUUUAGUUGUUUGAAAGGUGGCGUAAGCUGUCGCUUGGGGAUGAGCCUGCGUCCUAUUAGUUAGUUGGUGAGGUAACGGCUCACCUAGGCAAUGAUAGGUAGGCGGCCUUAACGGGUGGUCGCCCACACUGGGAUUGAGAUACGGCCCAGACUCCUACGGGAGGCAGCAGUCGAGAAUAGUCUACAAUGGUCGGAAGACUGAUAGUGCGACGCCGCGUGAACGAUGAAUCCCUUCGGGGUAAAGUUCUUUUAUAUGUGAGCAGUGCUUCUUAUAUUAACAGUAUGGGGAAGAGAUAUUACGAUAUGAAUAAGCAACGGCUAACUCCGUGCCAGCAGCCGCGGU